This is a long non-coding RNA of Podarcis muralis (Common wall lizard), 809 nucleotides long. RefSeq lists it as uncharacterized. The record is from RefSeq and is a predicted model, not a curated record. NCBI's taxonomy places the organism in Eukaryota, Metazoa, Chordata, Lepidosauria, Squamata, Lacertidae.
CAUACAUUCUGAAAGAGAAAAUUAAGAUCUGUUCAAAACAUUGUUUCUAGACGUUAGAAUAAAACCUUAAGCUGCUAUUAUCAAGGGAGUGCAGCAAAGAGGGAUCAUUUUACAAAACAGUGUGGGAAAGAUGUUUUAUAUGUCAAGACUUGCUGAUCUACAAAUUAUAUUAAGGCACCACACUUUACAAAUUUUGCAUUAAGGAACUUGUGCAACUUGCAUUUAUUUUUCCAUUAAUAUACAAAGCAGAAACAUCAAACUAAUGACAUUCACAAGUGGGAGAAGAUAUAAAUAAGGAGGGUGGGCAAUUUUUUAGCCAUUUCUCUUCAGUAAAUAUGAAACCAGUAUGAUGCUUUAUCAAUUUGGUGAUGGUGGCUUUUUUUUUAAAAAAGGAUACUUUCCCUCUUUCCAACAUUGUUGCUCAAAGUUCAAAGAAAAUACCUACAAUAUGAGAAGAAAUCUAUAUGAUGCCAAGGUUUUCUAAAGAUUGAUGAAACAUGACGACUCUCAAGAUCUCAGCAGAUCAUUUACAGAAUGAAGUAUAAUUCUAAUCUACACUUACUGGACCCUGAUGUUAUCAAAUUCCUUGAUUUUUGCCAAAGUAAUCUGCUUUUGCUUCUGCAAUUCGGACGAUGUUUUCUUUAAUUUGUUCAGAAGGGAUCCAAGGGAACUGUCCUGUUCUGCUACAGUUUGCUCCAUCUCUGCCAGACGAAUUAAAUGUUUAUUUGCUGGGACAGCUAAAGAUGGCUUUUUCACCAACUCCUGUGGAACAAAACAGGUUAUCUAAUGAAUAAAUAAAUAUUCUAUUG